ACGUAGGCGGCAAGCGUUGUCCGGAAUUAUUGGGCGUAAAGGGAGCGCAGGCGGGAAACUAAGCGGAUCUUAAAAGUGCGGGGCUCAACCCCGUGAUGGGGUCCGAACUGGUUUUCUUGAGUGCAGGAGAGGAAAGCGGAAUUCCCAGUGUAGCGGUGAAAUGCGUAGAUAUUGGGAAGAACACCAGUGGCAAAGGCGGCUUUCUGGACUGUAACUGACGCUGAGGCUCGAAAGCUAGGGUAGCGAACGG
Molecule: ribosomal RNA, 250 nt
Filed under: uncultured bacterium
Lineage: Bacteria
Description: partial 16S ribosomal RNA
Rfam family: Bacterial small subunit ribosomal RNA
Source: RNAcentral